CCCUUAGAUGAUUUGGGCUGCACGCGCGCUACACUGACCCUAACAAUGAGCAACUGUCUGGCCUGAGAUGGCUGGGUAGCCUUUUCAACCCAUGUCAUGAUUGGGCUAGAUUUUUGUAAGUCUUGAUCUCUAACGAGGAAUCCCUAGUAUGCGUGAAUCAUCAAUCCAUGCAGAUUAUGUCCCUGCCCUUUGUACACACCGCCCGUCGCUCCUACUGAUUGGGUGAUCCGGUGAGCUGUUCGGCCAUAGCAAUGUUUCUUGAGCAGGGCAAUAAAUGUUUCGCAAACCUUGCCACUUAGAGGAAGGAGAAGUCGUAACA
Molecule: ribosomal RNA, 319 nt
Filed under: uncultured eukaryote
Lineage: Eukaryota
Description: partial 18S ribosomal RNA
Rfam family: Eukaryotic small subunit ribosomal RNA
Source: RNAcentral